RNAcentral lists this transfer RNA (85 nucleotides) under Deltaproteobacteria bacterium RIFCSPHIGHO2_02_FULL_40_11. Its description in RNAcentral is "tRNA-Leu". It matches the Rfam family "tRNA". Rfam says of the family: Transfer RNA (tRNA) molecules are approximately 80 nucleotides in length. Their secondary structure includes four short double-helical elements and three loops (D, anti-codon, and T loops). The record is from RNAcentral. Lineage: Bacteria; Deltaproteobacteria.
GCCCGGGUGCUGGAAUUGGUAUACAGGCACGCUUGAGGUGCGUGUGCCGCAAGGCAUAAGGGUUCAAGUCCCUUCCCGGGCACCA